Molecule: ribosomal RNA, 207 nt
Filed under: uncultured Acidobacteriota bacterium
Lineage: Bacteria; Pseudomonadati; Acidobacteriota
Description: uncultured Acidobacteria bacterium partial 16S ribosomal RNA
Rfam family: Bacterial small subunit ribosomal RNA
Source: RNAcentral
CUCGUAGGUGGCCAUCUAAGUCAGACGUGAAAUCCCUCGGCUCAACCGGGGAACUGCGUCUGAUACUGGGCGGCUUGAAUUCGGGAGAGGGACGUGGAAUUCCAGGUGUAGCGGUGAAAUGCGUAGAUAUCUGGAGGAACACCGGUGGCGAAGGCGGCGUCCUGGACCGAUAUUGACACUGAGGAGCGAAAGCCAGGGGAGCAAACG